UUGAAGAGUUUGAUCAUGGCUCAGAUUGAACGCUGGCGGCAGGCCUAACACAUGCAAGUCGAGCGGUAGCACAGAGAGCUUGCUCUCGGGUGACGAGCGGCGGACGGGUGAGUAAUGUCUGGGAAACUGCCUGAUGGAGGGGGAUAACUACUGGAAACGGUGGCUAAUACCGCAUAAUGUCGCAAGACCAAAGUGGGGGACCUUCGGGCCUCAUGCCAUCAGAUGUGCCCAGAUGGGAUUAGCUAGUAGGUGGGGUAACGGCUCACCUAGGCGACGAUCCCUAGCUGGUCUGAGAGGAUGACCAGCCACACUGGAACUGAGACACGGUCCAGACUCCUACGGGAGGCAGCAGUGGGGAAUAUUGCACAAUGGGCGCAAGCCUGAUGCAGCCAUGCCGCGUGUGUGAAGAAGGCCUUCGGGUUGUAAAGCACUUUCAGCGGGGAGGAAGGCGUUAAGGUUAAUAACCUUGGCGAUUGACGUUACCCGCAGAAGAAGCACCGGCUAACUCCGUGCCAGCAGCCGCGGUAAUACGGAGGGUGCAAGCGUUAAUCGGAAUUACUGGGCGUAAAGCGCACGCAGGCGGUCUGUCAAGUCGGAUGUGAAAUCCCCGGGCUCAACCUGGGAACUGCAUUCGAAACUGGCAGGCUAGAGUCUUGUAGAGGGGGGUAGAAUUCCAGGUGUAGCGGUGAAAUGCGUAGAGAUCUGGAGGAAUACCGGUGGCGAAGGCGGCCCCCUGGACAAAGACUGACGCUCAGGUGCGAAAGCGUGGGGAGCAAACAGGAUUAGAUACCCUGGUAGUCCACGCCGUAAACGAUGUCGAUUUGGAGGUUGUGCCCUUGAGGCGUGGCUUCCGGAGCUAACGCGUUAAAUCGACCGCCUGGGGAGUACGGCCGCAAGGUUAAAACUCAAAUGAAUUGACGGGGGCCCGCACAAGCGGUGGAGCAUGUGGUUUAAUUCGAUGCAACGCGAAGAACCUUACCUGGUCUUGACAUCCACAGAACUUUCCAGAGAUGGAUUGGUGCCUUCGGGAACUGUGAGACAGGUGCUGCAUGGCUGUCGUCAGCUCGUGUUGUGAAAUGUUGGGUUAAGUCCCGCAACGAGCGCAACCCUUAUCCUUUGUUGCCAGCGGUUAGGCCGGGAACUCAAAGGAGACUGCCAGUGAUAAACUGGAGGAAGGUGGGGAUGACGUCAAGUCAUCAUGGCCCUUACGACCAGGGCUACACACGUGCUACAAUGGCAUAUACAAAGAGAAGCGACCUCGCGAGAGCAAGCGGACCUCAUAAAGUAUGUCGUAGUCCGGAUUGGAGUCUGCAACUCGACUCCAUGAAGUCGGAAUCGCUAGUAAUCGUAGAUCAGAAUGCUACGGUGAAUACGUUCCCGGGCCUUGUACACACCGCCCGUCACACCAUGGGAGUGGGUUGCAAAAGAAGUAGGUAGCUUAACCUUCGGGAGGGCGCUUACCACUUUGUGAUUCAUGACUGGGGUGAAGUCGUAACAAGGUAACCGUAGGGGAACCUGCGGUUGGAUCACCUCCUU
This 1536-nucleotide ribosomal RNA is filed under the name Klebsiella pneumoniae. Its description in RNAcentral is "bacterial SSU rRNA". It matches the Rfam family "Bacterial small subunit ribosomal RNA". The record is from RNAcentral. Lineage: Bacteria; Pseudomonadati; Pseudomonadota; Gammaproteobacteria; Enterobacterales; Enterobacteriaceae.